UAAACUUCUGGUGGAUUUCUAUAAUUGAACUAUGAAGGGGUGCUUCCGGCUUAUCUUGCCCUUUUGACUGAAAAAGGUGAUGCAAGAAGUCUACGUUAGGCUUACCUUUGAGCAUUCAGUUCCUGUACUUUUGAUUGAUAUGCACAGAAAAUUGGAAGAUUGGUUUAUGCAGUCAACUGGAAUAUUCAAAUGCUGUUGCUAUUUGAUCUACUCAACUGAAGUAAAAAUGAAAAUUGUUUAGUUUUCUGUGAAAUUUUCUAGCUGUAUUCAACAAUGUGUUUGCUUGUUUUUUUCCACUUACGCCACCUUAUAGAUGCUUUUCAGAACUGAAACAGAAAGUAAAGACCCAUAAAUAGAUACACUUUCAUUUACUGAGCUGAGGGACAAGCUGCUUGCCCUUGAUCCUCUAGAUAUAGAUCAUGUGGUGAAAAUCAAUAAAGCGGAAGCUGAGUAUUGGAAGAAGUCAGAAGGGUAUCGCAUGGGCUGGAGUGAUGAAAUACUAGGCUUCGAUUGUGGUGGGCAGCAGUGGGUUUCUGAAAACUUCUUCCCCACCGGAACCCUAGCAAAGCCAAGUAUGAAGGAUCUUGAUUAUAUAGAUAAGCUGUUGCAGUUGAUUGAAAGGAGGAGAUACCCGCACCUGGACCUAUUGAGCAGCGUUGGACUGCUCGCAGCAAGAGCCCGAUGAGCCCGGGAUCAAGCUCUGAAGAAGAUGAUGUAUUUUCAUGGGUUGGUAUUAUAAUGUAUCUGCCAACAUCUGAUGCUCGCCAAAGGAAGGAAAUCACAGAAGAGUUCUUCAGUUACAGGAGCCUGACACGAAGUCUCUGGGAUGAUUAUUCCGCCUAUGAACACUGGACCAAGAUCAAGGUGCCGACUAGCUUCAAGAUUAAUUAUUUAGACACUGUUUGUGUUCUUCCUAUUUUCCCUAGGCUUCAGAAGUGAAAAUAGCAUAAGUUCCAAAAGACAAGGACGAACUUGCCGAACUCCAGGCCCGGCUGAGGAAGCGUUUCCCUAUGGAUGCAUAUAACAAGGCACGUAUGGAGCUGGACCCCAACAAGGUGCUCUCAAACGCCAAGUUGGAGAAGAUGUUCCUAGUGUUGGAGCCUGCUCACCAGACAAAGUAAUCUCUACUACUCCUUCCCGGCGAGGAAUGGUCGCAGAAGGAACUGCUCCACGAUGGAGGACG
Molecule: long non-coding RNA, 1183 nt
Organism: Zea mays
Lineage: Eukaryota; Viridiplantae; Streptophyta; Magnoliopsida; Poales; Poaceae
Exons: 3
Source: RefSeq, a predicted model, not a curated record